GACGAACGCUGGCGGCGUGCUUAACACAUGCAAGUCGAACGGAAAGGCCCUGCUUUUGUGGGGUGCUCGAGUGGCGAACGGGUGAGUAACACGUGAGUAACCUGCCCUUGACUUUGGGAUAACUUCAGGAAACUGGGGCUAAUAUCGGAUAGGAGCUCCUGCUCCAUGGUGGGGGUUGGAAAGUUUCGGCUGUUGGGGAUGGACUCGCGGCUUAUCAGCUUGUUGGUGGGGUAGUGGCUUACCAAGGCUGUGACGGGUAGCCGGCAUGAGAGGGUGACCGGCGACAAUGGGACUGCGAUACGGACCAGAAUCGUACGGGAGGCAGUAGUGGGGAGUAUUGCACAAUGGGCGGACGCCAGAUGUGGAAACGCUGCGUGCGGAAUGACGGCUUUCGGGUUGUAAACAGAUGUCGAAUGAGACGAGGCGUGCGUGACGGUACUGGGUCAAGAAGCAACGGCUAACUACGUG
Molecule: ribosomal RNA, 468 nt
Filed under: uncultured bacterium
Lineage: Bacteria
Description: partial 16S ribosomal RNA
Rfam family: Bacterial small subunit ribosomal RNA
Source: RNAcentral